GGACGGGCAGAGCACCCGGCUGGCAGGGCCCCAGCGGGGUGUGCCACAAUCCUGCCACGAGCGCGGGAGCAGGAGCGCACACCCAGUUACCCCGACAUCUUCCAAGGAGGGGACAGAGGAGGGCCCCCCUGUAAGAGCUGCUUCUCCUUCUCCCCACCCCAGCGUGUGAGUCAGAGGAAAACCGGAAAGGGAAUAUAAACCGCCCACACUCCGCGGGGUUUCAUGGCCCACUCUGGCUCCGCCUGCACUCCAGCGAGUAGGGAACCGGCCAGAUCGCCUGGAAUCCAGCUGGGAAUUGGAAAGAAUCCUGAUUCAUCGGAGGGCCUGGGCUGCCAAGAAAAUUCUCUUGAAGGCUUUCUUUUCUUCAGCGGCUGCUUCCCAGGGGUGAGGACUUAUGCCUGCUUCUCGGCCAGUCGUCUGUGACGCAGAGACUGAGGGGCCCAGGAAGGAGGGGAUGGGUUUCCUGCAGUGUCAUUUGACAAUGUCGUGGAUGGACGGAGCAUGACCCCAUCAAGGAAGGGUGAAGCCAGGCGGUACAGGCUUGCCGAGAGGACAGAGUCAACCAAAAGGCGGGAAGGCUUUCUCAUAAAUUAAGGAAGGGGAUGCAGCAUCGCGUGUUGCAGGAGACGUCCCGCUUGCCUGAUGCCCGGCAGGGCCUGACCUUGGACCUAACCCGACGAGAUGAUGAGGCAAGAGCCAAGGGCCGGUCGUUCCGGCUGGCUUCCUCCAACCCAAUGCACACCAUGGUCGAGGUGGUGCGGAGUAAGGACUGCAGGCUGUCCCAGGCCACCUUCCCUGGCAUCCUGCCAGCCGUCACCCCGGUGGUCGACAAAGCCACUGGCCUCUGUCUGGCGUGCGUCUCCGCGUCAGCACAGCCGUCCCGGACCCGGGCCAGGCCUCUCGGUCUCCUGAACCUGAUCGCACAAUGGUUCUCCUGCUAUUGCCCGCAUUAAACAAAAAAAAAAAAAGUGUAUCUAUAGCAUAACAACCUUGAGUACGUUCUUGAGAAAGUCAAUGCCCUCCUGAGCCCUCUGCCCAACUCAAGGGUCUCCUCCUGGGCCCCUCCCCUCCCUGCCUCUCUGCGGCACCCAACCUCUCCUGCUCGCCCGCUUGCCUGUUCUCAGCUGGCUUCUAUCUAAUCAAGUGAGAGGCCGUGGAGUUAGCUUCUCCCUGGCUCCCUGGCACACCCUCGAGCACCCCGAUCUUCCCGCCGGCUGCCUGUCUCCCUCUACGCCCCCGCCAGCCUGGGUUCUGGGGACACUCCUCCUUUGGCCAGGACCCCAGCUGCUUCCAUCCGUCCUGCGACCCCUCUUGUGGCACGCUUCGGCCACUUGCCGGCCUCUGGGCCACGACCCGAGCACUCCCGGCCCCUUCCCCCAACUUCAGGAAACCGGCCAUCCCUUGACAGGUGCCACGAACUGGCUUUUUUAAAGAAAAUUAUUACUUUAAAAGCAAUAUCAGAAAGGGGUGUCUGGGCUGUGGGAUGGUGGACCACGGGCUCUUUUCCUCUUUCUACUUGUUAUUAAAGAAAGUGAAUCCUGUUUCUGACAUU
This is a long non-coding RNA of Mustela putorius furo (domestic ferret), 1552 nucleotides long. Lineage: Eukaryota; Metazoa; Chordata; Mammalia; Carnivora; Mustelidae. The record is from Ensembl.